Molecule: long non-coding RNA, 418 nt
Organism: Apodemus sylvaticus (European woodmouse)
Lineage: Eukaryota; Metazoa; Chordata; Mammalia; Rodentia; Muridae
Exons: 3
Source: RefSeq, a predicted model, not a curated record
AGUUGCAGUGUCAAGCAAGUGGCUCGAUGGUUUUCGAAAGUGGUAUUAUGAUGCGGAAGGAUUCAAUAAACAGCAAACUGGCUAAUAUGAGAUGGCACAGCAUAGGAGACUGAAUGAAGUCAUAAGAAGGCUUCCUGAGGACCUUUGUAGCAACAGAGUCUCACAUUAAGAGAGCCCUGGACCUGACCAUGAGGCACCAGGUCAUGCCUGUGGAGUCGUGGACAAAUAUGAGGCAGUGGAUCAGGACAAAUUCUACCUUGGGCCCUAUCUGAAAGAAAGGAGAAAGAAGAAUGGGCAAAAUGUGAUCUGUAGUUGAGAUCUGUGGCUAUGCCUCCUUUCAACGUAUUUUUAUGAAGUUGGUUGAACCCAAAUCACAAUUUAAGAAUUAUUUGCCUGCAGAUUCCUCACUUUAAAUAAA